Molecule: ribosomal RNA, 460 nt
Filed under: uncultured bacterium
Lineage: Bacteria
Description: partial 16S ribosomal RNA
Rfam family: Bacterial small subunit ribosomal RNA
Source: RNAcentral
CCUACGGGUGGCUGCAGUGAGGAAUAUUGGUCAAUGGGCGUAAGCCUGAACCAGCCAAGUCGCGUGAGGGAUGACGGCUCUAUGGGUUGUAAACCUCUUUUAUAAGGGAAUAAAACGCGCGACGUGUCUGGUUUUGUAUGUACCUUAUGAAUAAGGAUCGGCUAACUCCGUGCCAGCAGCCGCGGUAAUACGGAGGAUCCGAGCGUUAUCCGGAUUUAUUGGGUUUAAAGGGUGCGUAGGCGGACUGUUAAGUCAGUUGUGAAAGUUUGUGGCUCAACCAUAAAAUUGCCGUUGAAACUGGCAGUCUUGAGUACAUUAGAGGUGGGCGGAAUGCGUGGUGUAGCGGUGAAAUGCUUAGAUAUCACGCAGAACUCCGAUUGCGAAGGCAGCUUACCAAGCCGUGACUGACACUGAUGCUCGAAAGCGUGGGUAUCAAACAGGAUUAGAUACCCCAGUAGUC